RNAcentral lists this ribosomal RNA (1374 nucleotides) under uncultured bacterium. Its description in RNAcentral is "bacterial SSU rRNA". It matches the Rfam family "Bacterial small subunit ribosomal RNA", at positions 28 to 1381 of the family's 1533-position model. The record is from RNAcentral.
GAUGAACGCUGGCGGCGUGCCUAAUACAUGCAAGUCGAGCGAACGGACGAGAAGCUUGCUUCUCUGAUGUUAGCGGCGGACGGGUGAGUAACACGUGGAUAACCUACCUAUAAGACUGGGAUAACUUCGGGAAACCGGAGCUAAUACCGGAUAAUAUUUUGAACCGCAUGGUUCAAAAGUGAAAGACGGUCUUGCUGUCACUUAUAGAUGGAUCCGCGCUGCAUUAGCUAGUUGGUAAGGUAACGGCUUACCAAGGCAACGAUGCAUAGCCGACCUGAGAGGGUGAUCGGCCACACUGGAACUGAGACACGGUCCAGACUCCUACGGGAGGCAGCAGUAGGGAAUCUUCCGCAAUGGGCGAAAGCCUGACGGAGCAACGCCGCGUGAGUGAUGAAGGUCUUCGGAUCGUAAAACUCUGUUAUUAGGGAAGAACAUAUGUGUAAGUAACUGUGCACAUCUUGACGGUACCUAAUCAGAAAGCCACGGCUAACUACGUGCCAGCAGCCGCGGUAAUACGUAGGUGGCAAGCGUUAUCCGGAAUUAUUGGGCGUAAAGCGCGCGUAGGCGGUUUUUUAAGUCUGAUGUGAAAGCCCACGGCUCAACCGUGGAGGGUCAUUGGAAAACUGGAAAACUUGAGUGCAGAAGAGGGAAAGUGGAAUUCCAUGUGUAGCGGUGAAAUGCGCAGAGAUAUGGAGGAACACCAGUGGCGAAGGCGACUUUCUGGUCUGUAACUGACGCUGAUGUGCGAAAGCGUGGGGAUCAAACAGGAUUAGAUACCCUGGUAGUCCACGCCGUAAACGAUGAGUGCUAAGUGUUAGGGGGUUUCCGCCCCUUAGUGCUGCAGCUAACGCAUUAAGCACUCCGCCUGGGGAGUACGACCGCAAGGCUGGAACUCAAAGGAAUUGACGGGGACCCGCACAAGCGGUGGAGCAUGUGGUUUAAUUCGAAGCAACGCGAAGAACCUUACCAAAUCUUGACAUCCUUUGACAGCUCUAGAGAUAGAGCCUUCCCCUUCGGGGGGCAAAGUGACAGGUGGUGCAUGGUUGUCGUCAGCUCGUGUCGUGAGAUGUUGGGUUAAGUCCCGCAACGAGCGCAACCCUUAAGCUUAGUUGCCAUCAUUAAGUUGGGCACUCUAAGUUGACUGCCGGUGACAAACCGGAGGAAGGUGGGGAUGACGUCAAAUCAUCAUGCCCCUUAUGAUUUGGGCUACACACGUGCUACAAUGGACAAUACAAAGGGCAGCGAAACCGCGAGGUCAAGCAAAUCCCAUAAAGUUGUUCUCAGUUCGGAUUGUAGUCUGCAACUCGACUACAUGGAGCUGGAAUCGCUAGUAAUCGUAGAUCAGCAUGCUACGGUGAAUACGUUCCCGGGUCU